UACGGAGGGUGCAAGCGUUAAUCGGAAUUACUGGGCGUAAAGCGCGCGUAGGUGGCUUGAUAAGCCGGUUGUGAAAGCCCCGGGCUCAACCUGGGAACGGCAUCCGGAACUGUCAGGCUAGAGUGCAGGAGAGGAAGGUAGAAUUCCCGGUGUAGCGGUGAAAUGCGUAGAGAUCGGGAGGAAUACCAGUGGCGAAGGCGGCCUUCUGGACUGACACUGACACUGAGGUGCGAAAGCGUGGGUAGCAAAC
Molecule: ribosomal RNA, 250 nt
Filed under: uncultured bacterium
Lineage: Bacteria
Also listed under: 1 other name
Description: partial 16S ribosomal RNA
Rfam family: Bacterial small subunit ribosomal RNA
Source: RNAcentral